GUGUAGUGCGAUGUGGGGACGGAUCUUAAUAGGUCAUCCGGGUGUUGGAUAUCCCGGUUUAGGCAGAUGUAGGCGACAGGUAGGCAAAUCCGCCUGUCAUAUACCGAGGCUGCCGAUCGAGCGAGCUUGCUCGCGAAGUGAUUGAACGAGGUUCCAGGAAAAGCCACUAAGCUUCAGCUACACACGACCGUACCGCAAACCGACACUGGUGCGCGAGAUGAGUAUUCUAAGGCGCUUGAGAGAACUCGGGAGAAGGAACUCGGCAAAUUGACACCGUAACUUCGGAAGAAGGUGUGCCCUAUUAGUGUGAAGUGAACAACGGAGCAUGAAUGGGUUGCAAAAAAUCGGUGGCUGCGACUGUUUAUUAAAAACACAGCACUCUGCAAACACGAAAGUGGACGUAUAGGGUGUGACGCCUGCCCGGUGCUGGAAGAUUAAAUGAUGGGGUGCAAGCUCUUGAUUGAAGUCCCAGUAAACGGCGGCCGUAACGAUAACGGUCCUAAGGUAGCGAAAUUCCUUGUCGGGUAAGUUCCGACCUGCACGAAUGGCGUAACGAUGGCCACACUGUCUCCUCCCGAGACUCAGCGAAGUUGAAAUGUUUGUGAUGAUGCAAUCUCCCCGCGGAAAGACGGAAAGACCCCAUGAACCUUUACUGUAGCUUUGUAUUGGACUUUGAACAGAUCUGUGUAGAUAGGUGGGAGGCUUUGAAGCAGGGUCGCUAGAUCUUGUGGAGCCAACGUUGAAAUACCACCCUGGUGUGUUUGAGGUUCUAACCUAGGUCCAUUAUCUGGAUCGGGGACAGUGCAUGGUAGGCAGUUUGACUGGGGCGGUCUCCUCCCAAAGCGUAACGGAGGAGUUCGAAGGUACGCUAGUUACGGUCGGACAUCGUGACGAUAGUGCAAUGGCAUAAGCGUGCUUAACUGCGAGACUGACAAGUCGAGCAGAUGCGAAAGCAGGACAUAGUGAUCCGGUGGUUCUGUAUGGAAGGGCCAUCGCUCAACGGAUAAAAGGUACUCUGGGGAUAACAGGCUGAUACCGCCCAAGAGUUCAUAUCGACGGCGGUGUUUGGCACCUCGAUGUCGGCUCAUCUCAUCCUGGGGCUGUAGCCGGUCCCAAGGGUAUGGCUGUUCGCCAUUUAAAGAGGUACGUGAGCUGGGUUUAAAACGUCGUGAGACAGUUUGGUCCCUAUCUUCCGUGGGCGCUGCAGAUUUGAGGAAGCCUGCUCCUAGUACGAGAGGACCGGAGUGGACGCACCUCUGGUGUAUCGGUUGUCACGCCAGUGGCAUUGCCGAGUAGCUAUGUGCGGAAGAGAUAACCGCUGAAAGCAUCUAAGCGGGAAACUCGUUCCAAGAUGAGAUCUGCCGGGGCCUUGAGCCCCCUAAAGAGUCGUUCAAGACCAGGACGUUGAUAGGUCGGGUGUGGAAGCGCAGUAAUGCGUUAAGCUAACCGAUACUAAUUGCUCGUGCGGCUUGACCC
Molecule: ribosomal RNA, 1476 nt
Filed under: metagenome
Description: bacterial LSU rRNA
Rfam family: Bacterial large subunit ribosomal RNA
Source: RNAcentral